Molecule: ribosomal RNA, 381 nt
Filed under: uncultured eukaryote
Lineage: Eukaryota
Description: partial 18S ribosomal RNA
Rfam family: Eukaryotic small subunit ribosomal RNA
Source: RNAcentral
CAAUAGCGUAUAUUAAAGCUGUUGCGGUUAAAAAGCUCGUAGUUGGAUUUCUGUCAAGGACAACUGGUCCGCCCUCCGGGUGAGCACAUAGUUUGGUCUUGGCAUCUUGCUGGAAGCUGUUGCUGCACUUGGCUGUGUGGCGCAGCGUCCAGCACUUUCACUUUGAGGAAAUUGGAGGGUUUCAAGCAGGCACAUGCCUUUGGACACAGUAGCAUGGAAUAAUUAGAUUGGGCUUUUGCUCCAAUUUGUCGGUUUCUGGAGCUGAGGUGAGAAUUAAUGGGGAUUGUUGGGGGCAUCCGAAUUUAGCCGUCAGAGGUGAAAUUCUUGGAUCUGCUAAAGACGGACAACUGCGAAAGCGUUUGCCCAGGAUGUUUUCAUUGA